Aethalodelphis obliquidens (Pacific white-sided dolphin) is the source of this 125-nucleotide long non-coding RNA. RefSeq lists it as uncharacterized. The transcript is spliced from 3 exons. NCBI's taxonomy places the organism in Eukaryota, Metazoa, Chordata, Mammalia, Artiodactyla, Delphinidae. The record is from RefSeq and is a predicted model, not a curated record.
GCAACCAGAAACAAUUAACUUACCAACUGGCUUAUUAGGCCUGGAAUAAUUAAAAUGCAGCAUAAAAAACUGGACUUUCAGACUGGAAAAAUAUAUAGAUGAGGGGGAGCAGUGGAGAACCCAGC